This 387-nucleotide ribosomal RNA is filed under the name uncultured bacterium. RNAcentral describes it as "bacterial SSU rRNA". It matches the Rfam family "Bacterial small subunit ribosomal RNA", at positions 29 to 417 of the family's 1533-position model. The record is from RNAcentral.
AUUGAACGCUGGCGGCGUGCCUAACACAUGCAAGUCGAGCGGCAGCGCGGGAGCAAUCCUGGCGGCGAGCGGCGAACGGGUGAGUAAUGCUUCGGAAUCUGCCCAUGUAGUGGGGAAUAACCAGCCGAAAGGUUGGCUAAUACCGCAUACGACCUACGGGUGAAAGCAGGGGAUCGUAAGACCUUGCGCUAUUGGAUGAGCCGAAGUCGGAUUAGCUUGUUGGGAGGUAACGGCUCACCAAGGCGACAAUCCGUAGCUGGUCUGAGAGGACGACCAGCCACACUGGGACUGAGACACGGCCCAGACUCCUACGGGAGGCAGCAGUGGGGAAUAUUGGACAAUGGGGGCAACCCUGAUCCAGCGACGCCGCGUGUGUGAAGAAGGCCU